CUGCUGACUGCCGCUGAACUUUCUAAACCUUCCUCUCUGUCAGUGAGCAGCCUGUUGGAAGAGAAGGGCUAUCAGGUUCCUGUGCUAAGAGAACCAGCAUUACCAAGCCUUCUGGGCCCCCAAGGACAAUCAGUACCCCCAACUGGUCAUCCAGUGAGGGCCAGUCCAGUUCGCUCAGCAGGUGGCAGACCAGGCUGGGAACUGUAAGUAUUCUACAGAAAUGCAAUAUAU
This is a long non-coding RNA of Gymnogyps californianus (California condor), 231 nucleotides long. RefSeq lists it as uncharacterized. The transcript is spliced from 3 exons. The record is from RefSeq and is a predicted model, not a curated record. Lineage: Eukaryota; Metazoa; Chordata; Aves; Accipitriformes; Cathartidae.